This is a long non-coding RNA of Salvelinus fontinalis (brook trout), 3185 nucleotides long. RefSeq lists it as uncharacterized. The transcript has 4 exons. Lineage: Eukaryota; Metazoa; Chordata; Actinopteri; Salmoniformes; Salmonidae. The record is from RefSeq and is a predicted model, not a curated record.
CGUACCCGGAAGUAGUGUGAAUAUUUACUUCAGCUGACGUCAAAUCAACUGACUACAAUUACAGUUUAGGUUUUUGUUAGAAUAACCAAAAAUAUAUGCACAACUACGUAUGAUAACUUGCAUGUAAAUAGCUACUAAGCAUUUAUAUCUUCUGUAGCUAGGCUAUAGCGAAAAGAGGCUGCUAAAGCCAGCUUACUCAAUUCUAAACAAAGUAACGUUAUUUCACGUGUUGUCGGGAUUUGUGUGUUUUAACGCGUGACUAUGGACAAGCUAGCCAUAGAUGUUGGUGAUAUUCAGUCCAAGCCAAUGGCGUGUCGUAAAAGGGGAGAUCUGCUAUUUUGUGAAUUUUUAGGAAAAACAUGGAUUCAGAGAGAGCCGUUUCCUGGACAACCUGAACAAAAUGGUGGUGGAGACCAAUGAGGAGUUGUUGCCCAAAUGUUCAGAGCACAUGCAUAGGCACCUCUGUGAGGCCCUCACACGAUUGGAGGAUGGGAAUCACACGUCACACAGGAUCCAGGAGAGGGAGCUAGAGGCAGACCAAGUAAAGACACAGGCUCUCUUCAAAGCCCAUGAAUUACCAAUAGUGAUUUAACCAUUCACAGGCAUGGAUUGUGACAACAGACCAGGGCCCAGUUUCCCGUUAUCGAUGGAACUUAAGCUUACGAGUGUAUGAACAAGGCAUCGUACAACAACCGAAGAAGUCGCUUAUGUUUCCCAAAACACUAAGCAGGGAGAACUUUCACUAAGUCUGUCGUUGGAGCAGGUGUCAUUACUGAUAGGAUGGAAAGAAAGGCAGCGCUGCUCACGGAUCAGCUUGGUCCAUUCAAAUCUUACCUUAACAUUAUAAUUAUUCCACAAUACUGAGGAAGGAUCAGCUGCUGCUCCUAGAGAGCUAUUAUCACAUAUAGGCUAUGGCUGCAAAUAUUAUGGUGGCUUAUUAACCUAAUGCUUAUGCCCAGCCUACACAUCAUUGCUCGCAUGUUGUUACACAUCAUGAAAUAUAUUUAGGCAAAAAUUACAAACAGUAGCCUACAAUUAGCCAAAUAGAACUCAAUUGAUUGAACAAGAAAUAGAUUUCAUUUCUGUAUUUACCUUUUAUUACAGUCAUCUGGGUUUUCAUUUGAAGCAUAUUUUUAUUCUUCGCUUGUCUGUAACAUACAAAGACUUUGGUAACUUUGUAGUCAACUUUGUUCUGAAUUUAUAGGCGUUUACAGAGAGACAGAUAAACAUCUUGAGUCUGUGUUUAGCAGAGAUCUUCUAUGUAUAAAGUUAUGUGGAAGGGCAAAAAAAGCACCUAACAAUGCACUUAGCUGUUCUAAGAGUGAUCUGAGACAGUUAGUAAAUAAAGAUUGUUUUCAAGUGCAACAUUAGUUCUAAUGGGUUUGGGAAAACAACUCAGGGAUUUACCAAUGCUCCUACAAAGAUUCUAACGAUGAACUUGGUUUUAAGAUGCUUUCGGGAAACCGGGCCCAGGGGCGGAUCAUUUGGCAUCUAACAGGAGAUGGCUGUUUGAAACAGAGUGCCACCCAAGUCUCCCCAACAAGAGGGUUUUCAUUUCCAAUUUCAUUUUUGUCUAGUUCAGAUUUUUUUUGGUCUUCGAGCCUGACCCAGAUCCCUGUGUGUUGUGCACCUUAGAGCACCUAGUUGCAGGUGACCAUAGACAGACAGAAGGAGGACUGGGACAAGUGUCUAAAGGACCAGCAACGGUUGAAGGAGGAGGUGGACGAGGAGCAUACCAAGGCCAUCGGACGCCUCAGCAUCAUGUACAGCAACAUGAAGAAGAAUCUGUCCAGAUUCUCUCACUUUUAAUCCUCUGUGUGUCUGUCUGCUUGAAAUUAAGUUGUUGAAUUUGAUUGAUGCGGUACUUAGUCAUUGGCGCUAACAGAGGACUUCUGAGGACAAAAGUCAACAGUUUCCAGAUCACAAAUGACAAAGUGUGAUUAACAACGUGGCAUUUUCACAGCCCUUCAAAAUCACAAUUUUCUGGCCUAAGCACAUGGAAUAUGUAUGUCAAGCUCUGGAAAAAUGUCAUUUUUAAACCAUAAAGUACAUGAUUGUUCCUUGGCUGCUAAACUUAUUUUUUAAUGGAAUUAUGCUAGGAGGUGUUGAUAGAUGUGUGUUUUCUAUGGUAGGGCAGAUUUUCAAACCGUCACAAUUUUGGCAACAGGGUUCUCGAUCCAGGAGGGGAUUGAAUGUCUCUGCUGUAACCAAGAAACUUGAUCUAGACAUCUGGCCACUUAGCUAGCCAGGUUAUUAUUAUUAUAUAUAUAUAUAUAUAUAUAUAUAUAUAUAUAUAUAUAUUACCUUUAUUUAACUAGGCAAGUCAGUUAACAAAUUCUUAUUUACAAUGACGGCCUAAGUUAGCAAACCAAAUGCAUAGCUGGAGCCCUGAGUUUGAUAUAAUUUCACACAUCUUAGAUUUCUUAUAGUUAUACUUAUAGAUAUAAACAGUGGCGUAGCACAAAAAAAACGUUUGAACAGUAUUGAAAGUCAUACCGUUGGUAUUUUUAAAUACCCCGGUAUAUGGUAUCAACGGUAUAUCGCCCAAACCUAGUGUUUCCCUCCAACUGAAUAAGAAAAGAAACUGGAUUUUGCCACUGAUUUAGAUAUUUGAAGCUUCAGGCGAGUGAAAAUGUUGAAUGUCAGAAGUGCAAUUCAAAGCUGGGUUGUCAACGGCACAGGUCAACAUCUCAAACUUUACUCACUGAGCAAUUUCCCCAACUAUGCGUGCCUCACCAACUCUUCAGAUUAGGGUACAGUGAACCUUUGACAUCAAGUACAACUAGCAACAUCUCAAAAUAAGUCAAUCAGAAAUGGUUUUACUGAAGCAGGCUCAAGCUGUCAGAAAUUGACAUUAUUUAGUGGUGUUUUCCUGGGCCUCUUAUGUACCUUGUUAAAUGGAGAGGUAUACUUGUAGCGCUGUAUAAAGUGUUUUGUUUAAGGACAGUAUUUGCACUGGGCAAUGGCAUGCUGUUUAGACUGAUGGAUGGAUGGGCACGCUGACACAUUCCUGACCUGCUGGGAACAGGAUUAAUCUUAGCAGAAAGUGACAGAGCAAAUAUUUUAAAUGGCUCUCAUGAACACAGAAUAUGGGCACGGACGCUUUAAAUAAAACUUAAUUGUUGCGUGGGGGGGAUGCAGACCUCAUCAAUCAGUAUAAGUAAAAUAAAGCGUUGCUAAACUCU